This 497-nucleotide ribosomal RNA is filed under the name uncultured bacterium. Its description in RNAcentral is "partial 16S ribosomal RNA". It matches the Rfam family "Bacterial small subunit ribosomal RNA", at positions 28 to 507 of the family's 1533-position model. The record is from RNAcentral.
GAUGAACGCUGGCGGCGUGCCUAAUACAUGCAAGUCGAGCGAACGGACGAGAAGCUUGCUUCUCUGAUGUUAGCGGCGGACGGGUGAGUAACACGUGGAUAACCUACCUAUAAGACUGGGAUAACUUCGGGAAACCGGAGCUAAUACCGGAUGAUAUUUUGAACCGCAUGGUUCAAAAGUGAAAGACGGUCUUGCUGUCACUUAUAGAUGGAUCCGCGCUGCAUUAGCUAGUUGGUAAGGUAACGGCUUACCAAGGCAACGAUGCAUAGCCGACCUGAGAGGGUGAUCAGCCACACUGGAACUGAGACACGGUCCAGACUCCUACGGGAGGCAGCAGUAGGGAAUCUUCCGCAAUGGGCGAAAGCCUGACGGAGCAACGCCGCGUGAGUGAUGAAGGUCUUCGGAUCGUAAAACGCUGUUAUUAGGGAAGAACAUAUGUGUAAGUAACUGUGCACAUCUUGACGGUACCUAAUCAGAAAGCCACGGCUAACUACGUG